This 398-nucleotide ribosomal RNA is filed under the name uncultured bacterium. Its description in RNAcentral is "partial 16S ribosomal RNA". It matches the Rfam family "Bacterial small subunit ribosomal RNA", at positions 523 to 918 of the family's 1533-position model. The record is from RNAcentral.
AUACGUAGGGUGCGAGCGUUGUCCGGAAUUACUGGGCGUAAAGAGCUCGUAGGUGGUUUGUCGCGUCGUCUGUGAAAUUCCGGGGCUUAACUCCGGGCGUGCAGGCGAUACGGGCAUAACUUGAGUACUGUAGGGGAGACUGGAAUUCCUGGUGUAGCGGUGAAAUGCGCAGAUAUCAGGAGGAACACCGGUGGCGAAGGCGGGUCUCUGGGCAGUAACUGACGCUGAGGAGCGAAAGCAUGGGUAGCGAACAGGAUUAGAUACCCUGGUAGUCCAUGCCGUAAACGGUGGGCGCUAGGUGUAGGGGUCUUCCACGACUUCUGUGCCGUAGCUAACGCAUUAAGCGCCCCGCCUGGGGAGUACGGCCGCAAGGCUAAAACUCAAAUGAAUUGGCGGGG